This 388-nucleotide ribosomal RNA is filed under the name furfural-degrading bacterium A6. RNAcentral's name for it is "bacterial SSU rRNA". It matches the Rfam family "Bacterial small subunit ribosomal RNA", at positions 7 to 397 of the family's 1533-position model. The record is from RNAcentral.
GAGAGUUUGAUCCUGGCUCAGAUUGAACGCUGGCGGCAGGCCUAACACAUGCAAGUCGAGCGGUAGAGAGGUGCUUGCACCUCUUGAGAGCGGCGGACGGGUGAGUAAUGCCUAGGAAUCUGCCUGGUAGUGGGGGAUAACGCUCGGAAACGGACGCUAAUACCGCAUACGUCCUACGGGAGAAAGCAGGGGACCUUCGGGCCUUGCGCUAUCAGAUGAGCCUAGGUCGGAUUAGCUAGUUGGUGAGGUAAUGGCUCACCAAGGCGACGAUCCGUAACUGGUCUGAGAGGAUGAUCAGUCACACUGGAACUGAGACACGGUCCAGACUCCUACGGGAGGCAGCAGUGGGGAAUAUUGGACAAUGGGCGAAAGCCUGAUCCAGCCAUGC